AACUGAUACUACCUGCGGGAACCUGCGGAGGGAUCAUUAGUGAACGCCCUCACGGGCUUAUAACUAUCCCAAACCUCUGUGAACCGUGCCCUUCGGGGCUAUUUUACAAACAUGGUGUAAUGAACGUCAUAUAUCAUAACAAAACAAAACUUUUAACAAUGGAUCUCU
This 168-nucleotide unclassified non-coding RNA is filed under the name soil metagenome. Its description in RNAcentral is "partial contains 5.8S ribosomal RNA, internal transcribed spacer 2, and large subunit ribosomal RNA". The record is from RNAcentral.